This is an RNA transcript of Folsomia candida, 2450 nucleotides long. It is a transcript of the gene named mitochondrial-processing peptidase subunit beta, with no coding region annotated. The record is from RefSeq and is a predicted model, not a curated record. The transcript has 7 exons. NCBI's taxonomy places the organism in Eukaryota, Metazoa, Arthropoda, Collembola, Entomobryomorpha, Isotomidae.
CAGAAGUAGCUUCUCGUCAGAUCCUACAAAGAAGACGAAAAACGAAGUAAGUAAAGAACAUCCCGAACUUCGUCAAUUUCAGAGUAACAAACACCUCCCAGACUUUACCGAAGCAUUGUAUGAAAUGACCCAGCUACCAAACGCUCACCACGAUCACAAACACGGCGGUACUCACCACCGACAUUCAGACCCUCAAUCUAGUCACAAAGCCAAGACUUCCCUAAGUACUCAUGGGCAUCCAACUAGUACUCAUCACGGAGAAGAGAGUUCACAUCAUCAUACAGGAAGAUGUAUAGAUUUGUUACUUUUUUCUGCAAUUUUUAUGAGCAUUUCAUAUUCUAGGAAUUAAUAAUAGAAUGACUCGUCGUGUACAGCGCACAAUCAGCGACGUACACUUGCCAGUACUACAAAUGAUGCUUCGAGAGCGUCCUCGUCCCUCGCCCAGCCACCUCCUGGUUUUGAUCCAGCUACACAAAGCCUUCAAGUCUUUAUGGAUCUCAAUAAGAUUCCAAAGAUGGGACCUUUUCUUCAUCAAAAUGAAGACCUUAUGCAAGAGUUCAUGCAACACUUAGAUCUUGCUUAUGUAAUAUUGAAGUGAUAGAUAAUAAAUAGCUCCAGUAAAGGUUGAGAGUUUUGGUUGUUGGCUAUAGCACUUUUUCAACUCCAGGCUGUAUCCCAAGAUAAGGAGCUGGCAAAAAGCAUAAUGGCAGAUAGAACGGUCUGGAAGAAUUUGCUUUCUUCAAAGGAGCAAGAGAACCGUAACCAGAGAAAGUCUAGAAAAUCUCUCGCAGUCCAACAACACCACCGUCAUUCCGGACCUUCCGCUGUAACGUCACAUGGUCACCAUGAACAUCGAACAUCGCGCGAUUCAGCUGGUCAUCGCCAUGAACAUCGAACAUCGCGCGAUUCAGCUGGUCAUCGACGUGAACAUCGGUCAUUUGCUGUCACAAAACAUGGCCAUAGAACUUCUGCAUUUCCAGGACAAAACCCUGAUAAGCAUAAUCAUGAUCCUUCAACAACAACUCGUCACCUAUCAAUUGCACCCAGUCGCAAUCUGCCAAUUCGGAACAGCCGUGUAUACGCUCCCAGUUCUCGCAGCUCGAUGUACAUGAAAUCCACGACAGAGAACACUUCGGUGGCGUCAACGACCACCAGGAGACUCAGCCUUGCUUAUCCCUACGACGGAGAAGGUGUGCUUCCACCCAAUGCUCCGGCUGCUUUGAAACAAAUGUCAAAUUCUGGCUAUUUAUACCUUCGGCGUCACAUAGAACCCAACGACAAAUUUCUGGUUUGUGGCAAAGUGUCAAACUAUUUUGAGAUUCUUGACACAAAUGGAAAGAAAAUGUAUCGUGCUUUAGAAGGUUCUGAAACCUAUUGUAACGCGAUUUGUCCAGCCUAUUCCAUCAGCAUUACGGAAAUCGAAGAUGGAGACGACAUGGACGAAGAUUUGGUCAUCAUGGAAAAAAGAUUUCACUAUUUUAGUGCUAAAAGGUACAUCAAAGUUUUCAGCCCGCCUGGAUCUUAUAUCGGAAAGGUUAAUCAAACUUGGAAGAGUGAGGAAAAGGCCACAUUUAUUUUGACAGAUAAAAUUGGGCAUGACAUGAUUAAAAUCAUGGUCUCGCAAUGCCCAUUUGAUAGGGAGAAACUAUCCGAGUUUAAGCUCUUUAGCAUUGACACAGACACGGCGAUUGGAGCCAUCAUUGGCAAGUACGUUGCGCCAUCGUCAAAUAAAUCACCUGGCGAAUAUCAUUACCAAGUUAAGUACCCGAAAGACUUGAAUUUACACAUCAAACUUUUAAUCACAGCAGCUUGGAUACUCAUAUACAAGCUAUAUUUUGACAAAGAAUUGAGAAAAGAGCUGAAGGAGUUCAUCAAAUGCAUAAAGAAGCAGAAGGAGAAGGAGGAAUAGGUGGAUAUGUAAUUUGUAGAAUAAUUGAUCGUUCCAGUUGUUUGUUUAAAUUGCGUGUAAUUAUAGUUUUUGUGACCUAAUAAUUAGAAUUAAUAAUAAAAAAGUGUAGACACUCAUGGAAAAAGUGGACGCUUGUCGUUUGUUCUUUGUUCAUAAUCUAAAAAAAAACAUUUCAGAGGGUCAAAAUGAGACGAUGAGAUCAAAGUCCCGCUCCCAGUUCAACCAUUGCCAGUCCCAAAAAAGUUGCAGCAGAAGAGAAAAAAAUUAUCCUUCCUCCGGUGGUCGGCUUUGUUCAAAAAAUUGGGAAAUUUAUUUAAAAAUCUUCCUCAAAAUGGCAUUUAGGGUCGCUCGUAUGGUGCUGCAGACGCCGAAGAAAUCUGCAACAUCCGUCUUUGCUCAGGCACGAAAAUCUCUUCACUCUGGUCGACCUUUGUCAGCACUGAGUUACAAAAGUGCGCUUCUCAACGCCCCACCUACUCGAGUCACAACGUUGGACAAUGGCGUAAGGGUGGCGACGGAGGACACUGGAGCACCCACAGCC